Rosa chinensis is the source of this 3495-nucleotide long non-coding RNA. RefSeq lists it as uncharacterized. The record is from RefSeq and is a predicted model, not a curated record. NCBI's taxonomy places the organism in Eukaryota, Viridiplantae, Streptophyta, Magnoliopsida, Rosales, Rosaceae. The transcript is spliced from 5 exons.
UCCAGAAAUCCUCACUGUCGUGCUUUGAAACUGAAAAAAAAAUUGAGAAGGCUGAUUGAAGGCUCGAAGAAACAACUGCGUCUGGCUUGAUUCGAAGAAGAUUCGACAUGGCCGGCAAUGAGAUCACCGUUUGGAUACCCAAAAAAAUGAAGGGUGGAGAUGAUAUUCCUCAUUACGAACGCCAUGAUUACUUUACCAUGAAGAUUUAUCAUGGAGGGAACAUAUUUGGGAACAAGUAUGUAGGUGGGAAGAUCUCAUAUUAUGAUUACGUGGACAAGGAUAAGAUGUCUUUGACCAAGUUAGACAACAUGAUAAAGGGGCUGAACCCAGAUUAUGAUGGGAGUAGGAUAGAUUAUUGGUUUAGAAUAGGUUCAGAAGAUGAUGCUUUGACCAAGUUAAAUUCAGAUUUAGAUGUGAUGACCAUGGUGUGUUGUGUACCAGAUGAGAGGGUAGUGAUUCUAUACCUAGAUCACAUAUAUGAAGGUUAUGAAGGUGAUGAAGGCACUAAUGAGGAGGAUGAGGUGUACGUGUAUCCAGCUGACUUUGGCUUUAUGUUUAGUUAGUCUGGAUCUACUGGUGUGGUGAUUGAAAAGCUCCCUAAUGAGCCUAGAAAGAAGCCGACCUGUGUGAUUGAGGAGAUCUUUGAUGAACCCAAGAAGCCUACUAAUGCAACUAGGUCCCUAGGAAGCCAAAGAGAAGUACUGGUAUAGUUAUCAAAGAGGUUGAUGAUUGCACUCUUACGCAAGGUAGCAAGGUUUCUUAUGCAAAUCCGAAAGAGAAGGGGAAAGGAAAAAUGUUUCCUGAGGCUAGGGCAGAUGAGGUUAGUGGUUUAGAUGAAGAGGGUUUACAUGACAUAGACAUUCUUGACUACAUGCAGUCUUUUAGUUGCAUGCCUAGUCAAGAAAAGAGAGUUGAAGAUGAGUUUGAGGAGAAUGAUAGUGAAAAUGAUGAAAGCUACAUACCUGCUUUAGAGGAUGAGGAUUAUGAUUAUGGGAUUGUUGAUGAUGAAGAUGAAGUGCUAGAUGAACAGAAUAUAGGGUUGGAGGUUAAUGCAAUUGGUGAUUGGCUGGGACCAAGCACACAUGGAAGUGAAACACAUAAUGUGGAGUUCGAUAGUGGGGCGAAUUUCAGGAUAAUGAAGAGAUAUUUGGAGUUGCAUAUUCGGAUGAAGAAAGACCUGGACCGGCUUUGAAUUCUAAUGGUGAAAAGGAUGUCAUUUUGUCUGAGUUUAAUCCCAAGACAGAUAUGCAGAAAAUCCAGUUUUCUGAAAAGGGAUGAUAUUUGGCACAUCUGCAAUUUUGAGAGAGGCUAUAAGAGAGAGAGCUAUUAGAGAUGGUUGGGAGGUCUACUUCAUUAAAAAUGACAAGACAAGAGUGAGGGCUAUAUGUAGGGCAGAAGAUUGUCCAUUUGAGCUCUAUGCAUCUAGAAUCAGCACGAAAGCUCUCUACAGAUCAAGACAUAUGAGCCUGAACACAAGUGCUCUAGAAAGUUUGAGUCAUGCAUGUUGAGCGCUAAGUACUUGACCAAGCGCUUCAUGUAAAGAAUCAAGCUAAACACUGGAUGGAAGACAGACCAUGUCUUCGGAAGUUAGAGUAAAGGUCUCCAAGCAGAUGGCUUAUAGAGUGAAGAAGGCAGCCAUUUUGGUGUUGGAGGGAACAAUUAAGGAGCAGUAUGCAAGACUUAGAGAUUAUGGGAAUGAGCUGCAAAGGGUGGACCCCUCAACAACCAUUGAUAUUAAGUGUGACUUCAACAACUCUAACAAGAAUCCGGUGUUCAAGAUAUUUGUCCAAAAUAUUAAUGGUUUAAAACUCAUUUGGACAAAUAUUUGUGUUAGAGCUUUGAAAAAAGGAUUUCAAGCUGGUUGCAAAUCUGUGAUUUGCUUGGAUGGUUGCCAUUUGAGGUCUGCUUUUGGUGGCCAACUAUUGACAGCUGUGGGAGUAGAUGCCAACAACACCACUUGGGUAAUUGCCUAUGCCAUGGUCAAAAUGGAGGGCAAAGACAAUUGGAUUUGGUUUUUAGAGCUUAUGUGCAAGGACCUCAGUAUAAGGGAGGAUGGAGCAGUUUGGACAUUCAUCAGUGAUAAGCAAAAAGGGCUUCUCCCUAGUUUUGAAGAGGUUGUGCCAUCUGCCCACAUUAGAUGGUAUGUUAGGCAUAUGUGGACUAAUUUUACCAAGUUAUUUCCUGGAAAGGUGUUGAGGGAUCAGAUGUGGGCUUGUGCAAAGUCAACUACAAUUCCUUUGUAAAACAAAGGAAUUGGAUGAGAUGAAGGCACUCGAUAAUGAAGCAUACAAAUGGAUGAUGUACGAGGACAGGCCGACAAAGCAUUGGUGUUGAGCACACUUCAACACAUGUUCGAAGUGUGACAUUAUGAUCAACAAUUUAUUUGAGAGCUUCAACAGUUUCAUACUUGAUGCUAGAGGAAAGCCACCUGUUAGUAUGUUUGAGGAAAUUAGGGUGAAACUUAUGAAGAUGAUACAGUUGAGAAAGGAAAAGAUGCAAUAAAUGGUGGGAAAUAUAUGCCCCAAGCCGAGAGAUAUACUAGAAAAGAACAAGGUGAAGGCUGCCACUGAUUGUAUUCCAAAUCUGAAUGGUGGUGACAUUUGUGUGGUGGAGAAUAUUGAAGGCUAAAAGAAUGUGGUUGACCUCAAUGCAAGAACCUGCACAUUCAGAAGGUGAGACUUAAGUGGUGUUCCUUGCAAGCAUGCAGUCUCGGCUAUAUACCUCAAAAGGCAUAAUCCGGAAGACUAUGUUGCUGACUGUUACUUGAUCAAGACUUACAUAUCUAUCUAUGACAAUCUAAUCCAACCUAUUAAUGGAAUGGAGAUGUGGAGUAGAAGUGAAGAGGCAUGCAUACUUCCUCCACAGUAUUCAAGAUAGCCUGGAAGGCCAAAAAUAGUACAGAGAAGGGAUGCAUCAGAGAAGUUGGCUGAAAAUGGAACAAAGCUUGGAAGAAUCCAAAAGUCACUUAAGUGUGGGAACUGUGGAAGAGUUGGCCACAACAUGAAAACAUGUGAUAGGCAUCUUCCUCCAAAGGAUAAGAAUGCUGCAAAUAAGAAGAGGAAGAUGAACAGUGGAGAUGCUUCUUCAUCUCAGAAGAAGAUGGCUGAAUUGAAGGCAUCAAGGAAACAAGGAGCCAAAGCUACUGCUGCCACAACUACUAAGUCUGCCUAAGCUGCUGCCACAACUACUAAGUCUGCCUAAGCUGCUGCCACAUCUAGCUCAACAAGCACAAGGCCUCCAACUUCAACCAAAGCAUCAAAGGGCCAAGCUCCAAUAGCUUCCAGAUCAUCUCAGAGGAUCAGGGACAAUUCCAAACAAGGAAGGAAAUAGGAAAGAGAAACUAGAAUGUCACAUUAGCAAGCCAUACCAUUUUUUGUCCAACCAUGUUUUGUGUAACUUGGUUGGUAGCUCUAAUGCCCUUUUUGUUAAUAUGAUUAGAGCUAUUUGAAAUGCAAACCUAUGUUAUGUUGCAAACACAUUUGGGCUGCUAAGUCU